Molecule: non-coding RNA, 32 nt
Filed under: Mus musculus (house mouse)
Lineage: Eukaryota; Metazoa; Chordata; Mammalia; Rodentia; Muridae
Source: RNAcentral
UGCCACACAAGCAAUGGAGCAACACACUGGCU